CAAAAGGGGAAAAAGGAAGGGGACCGAGGAAGGAAGGAGAAGGGGGGAGAAGAGAGAGGCGGCGCGGUGGGUGCCACUGCCACCGUCGCCGCCGUUGCUAGCAGAGGGGAGGGGAGAUCUGAGCGAGGAGAGAGAUCGACCCACGCCUCGCCGCCGCGCCAACGUCCCAGUGCCGCCAUCGCGUCAUUGUCGAACUGGAGGGAAGAGCUGCUGCCGCCACGCCUCGCCGUCGAGCUGCAUCAUGGCGCCGUCCUGUUCAUGGAGCCACAAGCUUGCAUCACUGCCGAUCCGUCUAGUUGCCAACGCCGUUGCGGGGGAAGACCAUAGCCGAGGCAAGGAGCAGCGCCGAGAGGAAGAGAAGGAGCUGCGCCACAUCGUCGUCCAGCCACUGUCAGACCCGCCAUCACCGGCGUUUCGCUGCCGUCACUGCAGAGGCCAAACGCCAUCGAACUUUCUGCCACCAACUUGGGGUCCGUCGUUGUCAAUACCUUUAGGAGAGAGAGACAGGGCCGAUCCUAUGCGUCCGAGAGAAAAGGGUGGAUGCUGUUCGCACUGUCGUACCAUCACCACGGCCAGGAUCCAUCGCCACCGCCGUGAGCCGUCCCUG
Molecule: non-coding RNA, 607 nt
Organism: Arachis ipaensis
Lineage: Eukaryota; Viridiplantae; Streptophyta; Magnoliopsida; Fabales; Fabaceae
Source: RefSeq, a predicted model, not a curated record